CCUACAGGGGGGCUGCAGUGGGGAAUAUUGGACAAUGGGGGCAACCCUGAUCCAGCCAUGCCGCGUGUGUGAAGAAGGCCCUCGGGUUGUAAAGCACUUUCAGUGAGGAAGAACGCCUGGUGGUUAAUACCCAUCAGGAAAGACAUCACUCACAGAAGAAGCACCGGCUAACUCCGUGCCAGCAGCCGCGGUAAUACGGAGGGUGCGAGCGUUAAUCGGAAUUACUGGGCGUAAAGCGCGCGUAGGUGGCUUGAUAAGCCGGUUGUGAAAGCCCCGGGCUCAACCUGGGAACGGCAUCCGGAACUGUCAAGCUAGAGUGCAGGAGAGGAAGGUAGAAUUCCCGGUGUAGCGGUGAAAUGCGUAGAGAUCGGGAGGAAUACCAGUGGCGAAGGCGGCCUUCUGGACUGACACUGACACUGAGGUGCGAAAGCGUGGGUAGCAAACAGGAUUAGAUACCCCUGUAGUC
Molecule: ribosomal RNA, 466 nt
Filed under: Vreelandella stevensii
Lineage: Bacteria; Pseudomonadati; Pseudomonadota; Gammaproteobacteria; Oceanospirillales; Halomonadaceae
Description: partial 16S ribosomal RNA
Rfam family: Bacterial small subunit ribosomal RNA
Source: RNAcentral